GUGAGGUGGAGCAAAACUCAAAAACUUAGUCUCAGUUCGGAUUGUAGGCUGAAACUCGCCUACAUGAAGCUGGAGUUGCUAGUAAUCGCGAAUCAGCAUGUCGCGGUGAAUACGUUCCCGGGCCUUGUACACACCGCCCGUCACACCAUGAGAGUUGGCAAUACCCAACGUACGUGAUCUAACCCGCAAGGGAGGAAGCGUUCUAAGGUAGGGUCAGCGAUUGGGGUGAAGUCGUAACAAGGUAUC
This 246-nucleotide ribosomal RNA is filed under the name uncultured bacterium. Its description in RNAcentral is "partial 16S ribosomal RNA". It matches the Rfam family "Bacterial small subunit ribosomal RNA", at positions 1257 to 1500 of the family's 1533-position model. The record is from RNAcentral.